AAAUAAAUAGGGCAAACCUACGGAAACGUAGUGACGCAAAGCUAUAGGGGCUAAAGCACUAUGCUAAGCCAGCCAGCUGCCGUU
Molecule: non-coding RNA, 84 nt
Filed under: Evansella caseinilytica
Lineage: Bacteria; Bacillati; Bacillota; Bacilli; Caryophanales; Bacillaceae
Description: c-di-GMP-I riboswitch aptamer
Rfam family: c-di-GMP-I riboswitch aptamer
About the family: GEMM was predicted in a large-scale screen for bacterial structured RNA regulatory elements. Genes associated with GEMM are involved in a diverse array of functions, including chemotaxis regulation, signal transduction, secretion and chitin.
Source: Rfam by way of RNAcentral